GGGGACCGGCGCUCAGCAUAGGGAGGACCCGUGCCGGCACCAGUCUCUGAGUUCCCUCAGUAUUUAUUGAUCAUUAUCUCUACCAUCUUGGAGAGGGGAAUGUGGCAGGACAAUAAGGUAAUAGUGGGGAAAGGGUGAGCAGGAAAACAUGUGAACAAAUGUCUCUGUGUCCUAAACAAGGUUAGAAAAGGUGCUGUGCUUUGAUGUGCACAUACAUAAACAUAUCUGGUGCAUUAAAGAGCAGUAUUGCCGCCAGCAUGUCUCACCUCCAGCCUUAAGGCGGUUUUCUCCUAUCUCAGUAGAUGGAACAUACAAUCGGGUUUUACACUGACACAUUCCAUUGCCCAGGGACGAGCAGGAGACAGGUGCCUUCCUCUUAUCUUAACUGCAAAGAGGCCUUCCUCUUUUACUAAUCCUCCUCAGCACAGACCCUUUACGGGUGUUGGGCUGGGGGAUGGUCAGGUCUUUCCCUUCCCACGAGGCCAUAUCUCAGACUAUCACAUGGGGAGAAACUUUGGACAAUACCUGGCUUUCCUAGGCAGAGGUCCCUGUGGCCUUUCGCAGUGUAUUGUGUCCCUGGGUACUUGAGAUUAGAGAGUGGUGAUGACUUUUAACAAGCAUACUGCCUUCAGGCACUUGUUUAACAAAGCACAUCCUGCAUAGCCCUAAAUCCAUUAAACCUUGAGUCAACAUAGCACAUGUCUCUGCAAGCACAGGGUUGGGGGUAGGGUUACAGAUUAACAGCAUCUCAAGGCAGAACGGUUUUUCUUAGUACAGAACAAAAUGGAGUCUCUUAUGUCUACUUCUUUCUACAUAGACACAGUAACAGUCUGAUCUCUCUUUCUUUUCCCCACAAUUUGGAGACACAGGAAGAUGUUCCAUGAAGAAGUGGUCAGAACAAUGCCCUUUUGGCAGGAGGAUGCCCACAUUCAUUGACUAGUUAAUGUGACAGCAUAAAAGCUAGGGUUCCCUCCCAACUUGGGACCACAUUGAAGGUCUUUUACAGAUACAGAGCUUCCUGUGGGAUUGGCUGAGGCCUUUGUUGUGAAUGCAUAACAUGUCUACUCCCUCUGCCCAAUCCUGUUUACUUCCUCCACCUUCCCCAGAAAAAAUCAAUCCACUGAGACCAUGGCUUUGCAGUAAAGAAAAAGUUUGAUGAGAGGCUGGCCAUGCCACGAGGGACAUGGAGUUAUUACUCAUCAAUCUCCCUGAAAUUUGGAGGCUGGGGUUUUUCAAAGAUACUUUGGUGGGCAGGGAACUAGGGAAUGGGUGCUGCCGACUGGUUGGGGAAUGCAAUCAUAGGGAUGACGAAAAUGGUCCUCAUGCACUGAGUCUGCUUCUGGGUGGGGGCAACAGGACUGUUUGAGUCACAGGUUGGGUGGGGCCAUCUGAUUGUCAGAAAUGCAAAAGCCUGAAAAGAUAUCUCAAAAGGCCUGUCUUAGAUUCCACAAUAGUGAUGUUAAUUACCAUUAACAUAGUAAUUAACAUAGGAGGAGCUGGGGAAGUUGGAGAUCUUGGGACCUCUGGAAUAAUGGCUGGUAAUUGUUUAACUGCACCUACAUUUUAGUAGAAUUCAGGCCCCUCUGAUUUUCCUAACCUGGUAGCCUUUCAUUAGUUUUACAAGGGUGGUUUCAUUUUUGGGAAGAGCUAUUGUCUCCCAAAGUUAGUCUGACUUAUGCCCAGGAAUGACCAAGGACAGUUUGGAGGUUAAAGGCAAGAUGGAGUUGGUCAGAAUUUUCUCUUACAAUUUUUGCAAAGGCAGUUUUAUAUAUAUUGGUUUUCAUCCAUGGCUCCUGGCUCUUAACUCUCGUAGCUCUUGUUACAGUCUUUUGUUAUAAUGUUGGGUGUGUUGGGCCCCAAGGGCAGGCCUCAGGAAACAGAAUCUGUCUCCUGCCCUCAUUUCACCUGCCCCAGGGCAUGACUGUAAUCUUCCUGUGAAAAGUAAAGUAGAGGUUUCUCUUCAAAGACUUUCUUCCCUGUCUAAUUAGGAAUAAAUAGUAACUUCUCUUAGAAGCAAAAUUUAUUCAAAGACCUGUGCUAACAUUCUUAAAUAUCUGCUAACCAUAAUAAAGAAAUCAAUGUACUUUAUGUUCUUAGCUCCCACAAUUUAGCCUAAAUAUUUGCCCUGGCAUGCUUAUGCUGGUCCAAGCAAGCAUUAGGUCAUAGCCUGUUCCUCUUCCUUAUUUGAAGGUGUUUUUACCUUUCUCAGCAUUCCACAAGUUACAUCCUCCUUCCUUUGUUCUCAUCUGCCUUUGCCUCUUUUAAAAAGUUCUAAGUUGCUAGCCAGUCAGGACAAAUACAGAAUAUGAGGUCCCAUUCCAGCCAAUGGAAACUGGACACAGCAGUAGGGUGGAUGCAUCAGGUUAUAAAUGACCCUGUCUCCUUUGUUUGGUGUACUCUCAUGGCAGAACUAAUGGCGAGUGUACCCUUUCUGCAGAAAGCAUAAAAAUGGCCUUGCUGAGAAAAUUAAAUUUACGUUCAAGUGCUAUUUCUUUAUGGCACCAGGAAACAAGCAUUUCAAACAUUCCCCUGCCUUUCUGAUUGUGGGUCUUAAGACCCUCCCUUGAGAAGGUCCUGCCUCAUACGCUGGGGGAAGGAAUGCUUCAAUAAGAACCCAAGAGGAUUGGCUUUGGUGAGCUUUCAGAUAGCUGAACACAUGGGGGUUCCUGGAGGAUGGUAUGCAUGGGGAGGGCAUGGUAGCUCUGUGCUCCUUCCCCCAUACCAUCUCUUCAUCUGUGUCCUUUGUAAUGCCCUUUAUAAUAAAGUAUAAUAGUAAAUGUAAAUAAGUGCUUCCCUGAGUUCUGUGAGCUGCUCCAGCAAAUUAAUCAAACCCAAAGAGGGGGCUGUGGGAACUGUAACUUGAAGUCUGUUGGUUAGAAGUUUUGGAGGACUGGACUUGUGAUUGGUGUCUAAGGGUAUGGAGGGGGCAGUCUUGGGGACUGAGCCCACCAGCUGUGGGAUAUGGAGCUAUCUCCAGGUAGGUAGCGUUGGAAUUGAAUUGGAAGACACCUAACUGGUGUCCACUUCCUGGUGUGUGGGGAAAGCCCCCACAUUUGGUCACAGAAGGCUUAUUCUGUGUUGAUGAUUGUGGUGGUGGUGUGAGUGCAGAGGAAAAACACGGUUGGAGAGAGUUUUUCCUCUACCUGUGAAAGCAGUGAAAGAAGGAAGGACUAGGUAGCAAAUGAGUCACAUCUCAGCACACUUCUGAUAAGUUUUUGACCAGGCCAGUAGGGAGUCCUGGAGCCACACAAACCCUGUAGAGGAUUAUCACAUUGGGCAGGAAAGGCCAGAUUCUUGUUGCCUGCGCCCUUGUACCUUUGUUGUACAUGGUCAUUAGAUGGGAGGAGCCUAGGGGAAGGGAGGCCUGGAAUAAACACUGUGGUGGAUCUAAAGCACAGCUCCUGGAAGCUGUCCAUCAGCUGUGCCUGCGCCCCAACAGGUCUCAUGAAGGGAGUUCCAAAGGAGCACUUCCAUGGCCACCACACUCCACC
RNAcentral lists this long non-coding RNA (3491 nucleotides) under Homo sapiens (human). Its description in RNAcentral is "HSALNT0258765". Lineage: Eukaryota; Metazoa; Chordata; Mammalia; Primates; Hominidae. The record is from RNAcentral.